UGGUGAAUUCAAAAUCAAAAAUAAUUUAUCAACACAAAUCAUAACAUUCAACACUGUAUUGUUAUACAUAACAGAUCAGUAAGACAAUUCCACUUCUGUAAUAUUUCUCCCACGCAAAACAAAUAAGAGAUUGGUUACUUUACUUAUAUAUAAGCAUCUUAUAUAUAGAUUAAAAGAAAUCAUGAAUACACAAGAAUCACAUAAAAAAAUAAAACUUAAAUUUCAUAAAAGGACAUAAAAGAUGCGAAACUUUAAGAGAAAACAAAAAAUACAGCUGCAAUUCCAUCUAAAUUCCUAACUAAAUAACUUGUCAAUUAAUUUCUAACUAAAACAUGCAUGUAUAAAUCAUAGACAGUGAACUUUGAGUAUAAACUUCAAAUAAUUAGUAACAUUCUAACCAUAUUUGUAUAAGUAAUAAAAUAUACUUGGAAUUAAAGUCGGCUUUCAUGAAUAAGUUGCCUGGCUUCAGCCUGUGUGCCGUGAUUCAGAAGAUUGAGAAAAAAACUAAUCAUAGAAUCAUCAUCUUCAUCUUCAUCUUCACCAUGUUUUCUUCCAUCUCUGGAUUUGGAUCCAUCGUAGUAGGUAGAUAGUUUUAGCCAUGGGGUGUAUAGUAUAUUAUUAGUAUAUACAUAUAGGAAGAAAAUGGGUGAUUAAUAUUACUUUUAGCUUCAUAUAUGAAGUAUAAUGGAUCACACCUAUUCAACUCUAACUUUUGUUCUUUGACUCAACUCUUCCAUUUCUAAAUAGCCUAACAAGUAAUCAUACAAGUUUAAGUGGGUGAGACUUCUUUCAUUCUUAAUGGGGAAUAGACAAAUUUUUGUAAAUAGCAUUUGAGGUGGGUCAAAGUUGUGAAACUAGUCAACUAGGGUUUGAU
RNAcentral lists this long non-coding RNA (874 nucleotides) under Lathyrus oleraceus (garden pea). Its description in RNAcentral is "Pisum sativum (pea) long non-coding RNA (PSAT_LNC022987)". Lineage: Eukaryota; Viridiplantae; Streptophyta; Magnoliopsida; Fabales; Fabaceae. The record is from RNAcentral.